UGCAGGCUGGUGUAACCCGGCAACACAUCCGGCUCUGAACCGGACAUUGGGGGUUCGAAUCCUCCGCCUGCAGC
This 74-nucleotide transfer RNA is filed under the name Dactylosporangium maewongense. RNAcentral's name for it is "tRNA-Gln". It matches the Rfam family "tRNA". From Rfam's summary of the family: Transfer RNA (tRNA) molecules are approximately 80 nucleotides in length. Lineage: Bacteria; Bacillati; Actinomycetota; Actinomycetes; Micromonosporales; Micromonosporaceae. RNAcentral also lists the same sequence under 2 other names. The record is from RNAcentral.